Molecule: ribosomal RNA, 382 nt
Filed under: Candidatus Falkowiibacteriota bacterium
Lineage: Bacteria; Candidatus Falkowiibacteriota
Description: bacterial SSU rRNA
Rfam family: Bacterial small subunit ribosomal RNA
Source: RNAcentral
AAACUGCCCGUUUUAAAUGGGAGGAAGGCGGGGAUGACGUCAAAUCAGCAUGGUUCUUACACCUUGGGCUACACACGUGCUACAAUGGGGCGUACAGAGGGAAGCCAAACCGUAAGGUGGAGCAAAUCCUUAAAACGCCUCUCAGUUCGGAUCGAGGUCUGCAAUUCGACCUCGUGAAGCCGGAAUCGCUAGUAAUCGUGGAUCAGCCACGCCACGGUGAAUACGUUCUCGGGUCUUGUACUCACCGCCCGUCACGCCAAGGGAGCCGAUAAUACCCGAAGGUCCUAGUUCUAGGGACGAAGGUAGGAUUGGUGACAAGGGUGAAGUCGUAACAAGGCAUCCGUAGCGGAAGCUGUGGAUGGAUCACCUCCUUUCUAGGGAG